AUUAUAAUUCCUCCGUUCGGAAUUACAUGUCUCAGAAAUGGAUGUAUCUAGAACUAAAAAAUGUCUAGAUACAUCCAUUUCUGCGACAAGUAAUUCCGAACAGAGGGAGUACAAC
Molecule: non-coding RNA, 115 nt
Organism: Triticum urartu
Lineage: Eukaryota; Viridiplantae; Streptophyta; Magnoliopsida; Poales; Poaceae
Source: Rfam